GAUCUGCCCACUCCUACUGACAAGAAGAAGGGGGAUCAUAGGACUUCAGACUUGUCAGAGCAGCUGUGCAUCCGUUGUUUCACAGGGUUGUAUCUGUGGCUGCAGAACCACCAGGCUGAGUUUCUGAUAAAAGACUCCUGGGAGACGGGCACAUCCAGGACCCCUUCCUGAGAAACCAAGUGGGGGAAGACUGGCCAUUGGCCCCCACAACUUCGUGGAGCCUCAGAUCCGCUCUGGACCCACCCUGCCCUGCGGGCAGCCUACCCUCCCCUGCUGGAGCCGCGGGGGAGGUGGGAAUGGACCCCGAUCUGCAGGAUCAGCGUCCCUUUCCCUCAAUGGGAGACUGAGUGUGUUUUGCAGAAGUCAAAACACCUUCCUAAAUCCUGAAAUGAUGUGAGCUGCUUGAGUUCAGGCUACCCUGCAGUGUCAUCGUGCCCCAGAUUAUUCCAAAAGGGUCGCCCGAUAUGGAAGAGAUCAGAGGCCUCUCUCUAAAGUAUUUCAAACAUUUGGCACUGAUAGCUGAGAAGGGUGGUGGUAGGAUUCCUGACGUUUACAGCCCACUGGCCCCUCAAAACUUAGUUCUGAUGAGUGAAUAAACCGAAGCCUAGAAAUGAGCAGCAGUUCCGAGCAGCCGUGACCCUCGCACAGACACAUGCGUGCACAGCCCUGGAUGAAGAGCCUCUCCGCUCACUUUCCGUUCAACGCGGAGAUGGAGAUACUUUUUCUCUACUCCUCCCAGAAUUUUCCUUGGUUAUCUAUCAUCAAAUGAUAUUAUUAGCGGGUGCUUAGAGUAUAUGAGAAAGUGUGUUGAAAGGCAAAUUAUUUUCUAAUGGUAUCAGCACCGUCCCUCACAGCAGACGACUGACUGUGACAGAUGUUACUCGUAAAAUACCUGUCAACAGACCAGGAAAGAAUCUCAUCGUGUCAUAAGUAGAAACUACGUAUAUCUUGGGUUUUGUAAGGAGACUACACUAUGUUAAAAGAGAGUUUGAGAGGAAGUCGAAGACUUUUGGAUGAAUCAGCUGCUGUUUUAGUAACGAUGUAAACACGAAAGUCCGUCUGUGGUACAUGCUGGAUCUUAGACGAGCACAUAUGGACGACUCAGCUGACUUGCACUCGUCCUGAAGACGAAUGUGCAAUACAGCCCUGGCUGUUUCCCUCUCUAGGAAAACACCCAAAAAUCUAAAUGUGAAAUAUACUAUUUGACAGGCAGACUUUGCUGAUAUAAUGUAUUUAUACUACAAAAAGCCAGGACAAUAAACAUUCUUGGAGGAGUUCCCAUUGUGGCUCAGCAGUAAUGAACCUAACUAGUCCAUGAGGUUGCAGGUUCGAUCCCUGGCCUUGCUCAGUGGGUUAAGGAUCCGGCAUUGCCGCAAGCUGUGGUGUAGGUCACAGACACGGCUCAGAUCUGGCAUUGCUGUGACUGUGGUGUAGGCCAGAAGCUGCAGCUCCUAUUCCACCCCUAGCCCAGGAACGUCGGUAUGCUGCAGGCUCGGCCCUAGAAAGCCAAAAAAAAAAAAAAAAAAAAAAAAANAACGAAAAACAAACAUUCUUAGAAUAAGCUAUUGGUUGAAAUUUCAAUUUCAAUAUUUAUCCCUUAGCAGAGCUUUUCCAUCCUUCUUCUUUUAUUGUUUUCUACCUUCUUUCGUUCUUGAGUUUUCCUUUUCGUCACCAUGUCAACUCCAUGAAAGCAGAUACUUAUCCUUUGAAACUACUUUUUUAAUGUAUUUUACCUCACAAAAACAGUUAGUAUUAUUUGGACAUCUAAUCAGGUUUUCUUCAUAUUUGAAAAGAUUCAUAAGGAACAAAAGAAAAAAAAUAGAUAAAUUGGACAUCAUCAAAGUUAAAACUUUUGUGUUGCAAAGGACAACAUCAGGAGGGGGGAAAAGCAACACACAAAAUGGGAAACUAUUUUUAAAAAUUAUGUAUCUCUUAAGGGUCUUGUGUCUAAAAUAUCUACAGAACUGCUACAACUCAAUGCUAAAAAGACAACGCAAUUGAAAAACGGACGAAGGAUUUGAAUAGACGUUUCUCCAGAUAAAACCAUACAAAUGGCCAACGAACAUGAGAAGGUUUUCAGCAUCACUAGCCGUCAGGGAACUGUUAACCAAAACCGCAGUGAGAUACCACCCCACACCCAGAAUGACUCGAACCAAAAAGUCAGUAACAAGUGUUGGAGAGGAUGGGGAGAAACUGGAAGCCUCAUGCGCGGCUGCUCGUAAGCAUAUAAACUGGUUUGCAGACCAGCUGCUUUGAAAACAGUCUGGCAGUUUUUCAAAUAAACACACACUUAUCAUAUGAUUCAGCAAUCCUGCUUCUAGUUAUAUACCCGAGAUAAAUGGAAAUUUAUGUUCAUACAAAAAUCUGUACGCAAAUAUUCAUUGCACCAUAUUCACAGCAGUCAAAAAGUAGAAACAGCCCGAAUGGUCACCAGAUGAUAAAUGCAGUAAUACGUCUGUGCAACGGAAUGUUAUCUGCCAAUAAAAAGAACGAAGCACGGAUAUAACACAGAUAAACCUUGAAAACAUUAUGCUAAGUGAAAGAAGCCAGCUGCAAAGGAUCAUAUAAUUGUAUGAUUCCAUUUAUGUGGAAUGUCAGGAAUAAGCCAAUCUCGAGGCAGAAAGUAGAGACUGGUGGUUUACUACGGCUGGUGGUGAUGGCGAGAUUGUGGAUGAUGCCUAAAUAAGCCUUUAAAAAAAAAGUUCAUCCUCUACCCACCAGGCUUUGCUGUAGCAAGAGACCCGUCAGGCUGGAAUUUGUUGGAAAUUCCAUCUCAUGAGUCUCCACACAUUCGUCUACUCAGCCAUUCCUGGGAGUCAGAGCUCUGCAUUUAUCGGCAGAAGCGCUGGGUGUUGCCGCCUCUAGCUAUGCGACCUUGAGGAAGCCACUUAACGUUUCCAAAUCUUAAUAAAAUAGAGACCACAAAAACUACCUCACAGACGCAUCAUAAAGCCUAAAUGAGAUGACGUGGGUCCAAGACUUUAUUAACUGUAAGUCACUAUGCAAAUGAUGGUCACUGCCAUUCGUACUUCUGUUGACCCAGGGCCUUGAUGCUGAGCUUACCUGCCUCACAGCCCCCAACGGCAUCAUCACAGGCAGGAGCCAGAAUCUUCAUUUUCUGUGAGAAGUUCCACUGCCAAGAAGACCGGAUGGUCGUGUCGGACUCUCCGUUCGUCUCCCUCCCAGGACAGAAACCUAUCUGGGAAACUCAGUUCCCAUCAGCAGGUGGCUUGGAGCAAAGAGCAUCCAAACGGGGGGAGUGUGAUGGUCUCCCCUGGGGGGGACACCACCAGGAAGACAAGCUGAGCAGGUGCGUGUCCGUCCUUCUCCUCUGAAACAGAUCUGUGAGUACCUCAGACGUCCUCCCUCCUUUAGUCCAGGACACUGCUCACAGAGACGCACCUUUCUCCCCUGUUUUUGUGGGUAACCCUCCUUCUGCUUGGGGGAUUUCCAGUGACCUCAACUUCAUUGUAAUAAACCAAUUUCCAA
RNAcentral lists this long non-coding RNA (3489 nucleotides) under Sus scrofa (pig). RNAcentral describes it as "lncRNA (ENSSSCG00030005437.1)". Lineage: Eukaryota; Metazoa; Chordata; Mammalia; Artiodactyla; Suidae. The record is from RNAcentral.